UUAUCCGGAAUGAUUGGGCGUAAAGGGUGCGUUGGUGGCAGAACAAGUCUGGAGUAAAAGGUAUGGGCUCAACCCGUACUGGCUCUGGAAACUGUUCAGCUAGAGAACAGAAGAGGACGGCGGAACUCCAUGUGUAGCGGUAAAAUGCGUAGAUAUAUGGAAGAACACCGGUGGCGAAGGCGGCCGUCUGGUCUGUUGCUGACACUGAAGCACGAAAGCGUGGGGAGCAAAUAGGAUUAGAUACCCUAGUAGUCCACGCCGUAAACGAUGAGAACUAGGUGUUGGGGGAAUAACUCAGUGCCGCAGUUAACGCAAUAAGUUCUCCGCCUGGGGAGUAUGCACGCAAGUGUGAAACUCAAAGGAAUUGACGGGGGCCCGCACAAGCGGUGGAGUAUGUGGUUUAA
Molecule: ribosomal RNA, 404 nt
Filed under: uncultured bacterium
Lineage: Bacteria
Description: bacterial SSU rRNA
Rfam family: Bacterial small subunit ribosomal RNA
Source: RNAcentral